This 771-nucleotide ribosomal RNA is filed under the name Staphylococcus warneri. Its description in RNAcentral is "bacterial SSU rRNA". It matches the Rfam family "Bacterial small subunit ribosomal RNA", at positions 23 to 776 of the family's 1533-position model. The record is from RNAcentral. Lineage: Bacteria; Bacillati; Bacillota; Bacilli; Caryophanales; Staphylococcaceae.
CUCAGGAUGAACGCUGGCGGCGUGCCUAAUACAUGCAAGUCGAGCGAACAGAUAAGGAGCUUGCUCCUUUGACGUUAGCGGCGGACGGGUGAGUAACACGUGGAUAACCUACCUAUAAGACUGGGAUAACUUCGGGAAACCGGAGCUAAUACCGGAUAACAUAUUGAACCGCAUGGUUCAAUAGUGAAAGGCGGCUUUGCUGUCACUUAUAGAUGGAUCCGCGCCGUAUUAGCUAGUUGGUAAGGUAACGGCUUACCAAGGCAACGAUACGUAGCCGACCUGAGAGGGUGAUCGGCCACACUGGAACUGAGACACGGUCCAGACUCCUACGGGAGGCAGCAGUAGGGAAUCUUCCGCAAUGGGCGAAAGCCUGACGGAGCAACGCCGCGUGAGUGAUGAAGGUCUUCGGAUCGUAAAACUCUGUUAUCAGGGAAGAACAAAUGUGUAAGUAACUGUGCACAUCUUGACGGUACCUGAUCAGAAAGCCACGGCUAACUACGUGCCAGCAGCCGCGGUAAUACGUAGGUGGCAAGCGUUAUCCGGAAUUAUUGGGCGUAAAGCGCGCGUAGGCGGUUUUUUAAGUCUGAUGUGAAAGCCCACGGCUCAACCGUGGAGGGUCAUUGGAAACUGGAAAACUUGAGUGCAGAAGAGGAAAGUGGAAUUCCAUGUGUAGCGGUGAAAUGCGCAGAGAUAUGGAGGAACACCAGUGGCGAAGGCGACUUUCUGGUCUGUAACUGACGCUGAUGUGCGAAAGCGUGGGGAUCAAACAGG